GGAUCUGAUUCCUCCAGGUGGGAUCCAGCCCUGAUCCCAUCAGGAAAGGAUUUGGGGUUUGGUGUUGUUUCCUUCUCGCUGCCCUGCCGGGACCUGCCGGGAGCCCCCCGAGCUGGGUGAGACCCCCCGGGGGGGGAUCUGAACCCCCUCGGGUGGGGUUUGAUCCCCUCCAGGUGGGAUCUGGUCCCGAUCCCAUCAGGAAAGGAUUUGGGGUCGGGUCUUGUGUCCCCUCUCGCUGCCCUACCGGGACCUGCCGGGAGCCCCCCGGGCUGGGUGAGACCCCCCUGGGGUGGGAUCUGAACCCCCUGG
RNAcentral lists this long non-coding RNA (309 nucleotides) under Cyanistes caeruleus (blue tit). RNAcentral's name for it is "lncRNA (ENSCCEG00000003585.1)". Lineage: Eukaryota; Metazoa; Chordata; Aves; Passeriformes; Paridae. The record is from RNAcentral.